CAAAAAGGAUUAAAUUGGAACAAACAUUGUGAUUUAUAUGAAUAGUAAAUAUAUAUGUAAUUAACUUAAUGGAUGCCUGAUGGGACUUUACAGCCCUUUUUCCCUUAACCACUUACAGACCUAAAAGAAAAGAUGUCUACAAACAUCAGUUAACUGAUAAGUCAAAAUUUCUUCAGCUUMUCUAUUUUGGUUUGUUUUAAUAAAUAGAAACAUGAAGACCUUCAGAAUCCUAUCAGMUCGAGUCUGGAAAUUUUGGGGUUGGUCCACCCUUAACCACGUUGGUCCACCCUUAACUCCACCAAAAAAAGUUAAAAUCUUUGUGAUGGCAGGGCUUUGUGUGUGAACACAAUCUACCCAGAGUUCCUCAAGGCUCUGGAUGUUUCUGGUCUGUCUUGGUUGACAUUACUUUGCAACAUUGCAUGGACAUUGGGGCCAGUGCCACUGAACUGGCAGACAUAGAUGGUGGUACCCCCUUUUUUUUUAAUAAAAAUGUAUUUUUACAGGAGCACAACACUUUUCAGCUUCCCUGGUGAGGUCUAUUYAGGGGUUCUAGAGAAGAAAGUAUGGUCAAUGGUGAAUCUCAGAUUCAGGAGAAACAACUUACUAUGGCUGUGUCUCAAUUAGUGGGUUGCAGCCGACGUAGACUGCGGCCGACGUUGGCCGUAGGCUGCUCCUGUCGGCUGCAUAAACGGCUGUGAAAUGGGACAGUCUACCCCACAGAAGACAGCUCGGGCUUUUUCUUCAACGUCGCAGAACUUUCAUGUAUUUUAGGCUGACAGCAGACUGCAACAAGAUAAGACCACAGUACUGCAGAAGAUGAAAAGCAGGUUUAGAGUCAUCUUCCUGCAAACACUGGAGGUACACCACACCUUCACCCCUGAUGUAAGACCUUAUAAUAUAAAGUAACAAAAUUGUUUUAUCAGAGUUAUGACAGUUGUUUACAGUGACAAAUUGUACAUUUUCAGAUCAUAACAGAAUGUGCAGUCCUCCACAACAUCUGCCUUUGGGCUGGUGACAUCAUGGCCCCGGAGGACGAGCCUGAGGAUGAGGCUGACCAGGAAGCUGCAGGUGGGGCUGUCUGGAGGAACCAGAUAGCAGCAGAUGUUUCUGCACCAGGGCAUCAGGACUAUUGUUAAGUGACAUGGCAGCCGUCGAGUCUGCCAGCCCCGCAAGCCUGGCUCGUGGGCAAAGCGGUGGACAGUGGACCGAUGGCGUGUCAACAGCUCUGCAGUCCACCCAGAUGAUGUCCUGCUGAGGAGGGAAACCAGGGUCUUUGAUCUUUGGUGGCAGCCCAUCUGAUUUAUCAGCGCUAUCAUGGACUCUCUGCUCAGUACUGUUUAAUAGUUCAAUAAUAUUGUAAAUAGUUAUUUGUUUUUGUUCUGUUGAAACUGUUUUAUGUAGUAUUUUUUUUACAAAAUAAUAAAAUGAAUUGUAAAUUGUUCAACACCUUUUUUCAAUAGUUUCUCAAUGACCACUUCAGUUACAUUUUGUUAUAAUUUCUUUAUUUGAACUUAUUAUACAAAACAACAAACAAUAAUAUUAACAUAACAAAUCAACAUUUUACAUGCCCUGGCCUGUCUUCAGGAAUAGAAACAAUUAGGACAUGGGGGUUAUUUAAAUGCCUCUGUCCCAACACCUCAUCCAUGAGGAUAAGCCAGGACCAAGUUUCUGCAGUGGGUUUGCUGCCAGCUCCCUCACUUGACCCUGGAUACACCUGACCUGGAUACUGCAAUCCUAAAACACAUGAUUCAUGACAGCAAUAAAUAUGAGUUAAGGUUUUUUGUUGAAAUGGGAUAGUUUGGUACCAGUUACAAAAAUUAUUGAAAUCUUAUUUCCUUUUAUUUUAUUUUUUUGUUUUGUUU
Austrofundulus limnaeus is the source of this 1862-nucleotide long non-coding RNA. RefSeq lists it as uncharacterized. Lineage: Eukaryota; Metazoa; Chordata; Actinopteri; Cyprinodontiformes; Rivulidae. The record is from RefSeq and is a predicted model, not a curated record. The transcript has 4 exons.